Molecule: non-coding RNA, 73 nt
Organism: Myotis brandtii (Brandt's bat)
Lineage: Eukaryota; Metazoa; Chordata; Mammalia; Chiroptera; Vespertilionidae
Source: Rfam
CUCAGAGAGGGGGGUCCCUCAGCCUGGAUUGCGAGAGGGUGCAGGCCAGGCUGAUGGACCCCACCCGUGCACA